Molecule: ribosomal RNA, 904 nt
Filed under: uncultured bacterium
Lineage: Bacteria
Description: bacterial SSU rRNA
Rfam family: Bacterial small subunit ribosomal RNA
Source: RNAcentral
GUGUCAGCCGCCGCGGUAAUACAGAGGUGGCAAGCGUUGUUCGGAUUUAUUGGGUGUAAAGGGCAAGUAGGCGGUUUAGUAAGUCUGUUGUGAAAUCCCAGGGCUCAACCCUGGAACUGCAAUGGAAACUACUUUACUUGAGUACCGUAGGGGUGAGGGGAAUUCUUGGUGUAAGGGUGAAAUCUGUAGAUAUCAAGAGGAAUACCCAUGGCGAAGGCACCUCACUGGCCGGUAACUGACGCUGAAUUGCGAAAGCUAGGUUAGCAAACAGGAUUAGAUACCCUGGUAGUCCUAGCCGUAAACGAUGUAGAUUAGGUGUUGGGGGAAUCGAACCCCUCAGUGCCAAAGUUAACACAUUAAAUCUACCACCUGGGGAGUACGGUCGCAAGACUGAAACUCAAAGGAAUUGACGGGGACCCGCACAAGCGGUGGAGCAUGUGGUUUAAUUCGAGGCUACGCGAGGAACCUUACCUGGACUUGACUCUCUAUCAGUAGUCCUGAUGAAAGUCGGGACGACCGUAUCCAAUCGGAGGAUAGUACAGGUGCUGCAUGGCUGUCGUCAGCUCGUGCUGUGAAGUGUUGGGUUAAGUCCCGCAACGAGCGCAACCAUUGCCUUUAGUUGCCAACGAGUAAUGUCGGGAACUCUAGAGGGACUGCCGGUGAUAAACCGGAGGAAGGUGGAGAUGACGUCAAGUCAGCAUGGCCCUUAUGUCCAGGGCGACACACGUGCUACAAUGGUCGGUACAAAGGGCAGCAAACCCGCGAGGGCAAGCAAAUCCCAAAAAGCCGGCCUCAGUUCGGAUAGCAGGCUGCAAUUCGCCUGCUUGAAGCUGGAAUCGCUAGUAAUGGCGCAUCAGACAUGGCGCCGUGAAUACGUUCCCGGGUCUUGCACACACCGCCCGUC